ACAUUUUAUUGGUUUUGCAGGAUAAGUUGCAAAAUUUUAAAAAUCGCACAAGUAGCUUUAGAGGAACAAGCUGCUAAAAUCAAGCAAAUUUUUGCUCACUUAUCAAG
Ipomoea nil (Japanese morning glory) is the source of this 107-nucleotide long non-coding RNA. RefSeq lists it as uncharacterized. The transcript is spliced from 3 exons. NCBI's taxonomy places the organism in Eukaryota, Viridiplantae, Streptophyta, Magnoliopsida, Solanales, Convolvulaceae. The record is from RefSeq and is a predicted model, not a curated record.